AUGCUCUUCAAGAAAAGCCGAUGUAAUUGCAGGGUACAGUGAAAUUCUUAAACUUCAAGCUCCAACAGUGCAGGUCAAAAUUAUACAAAAUGACACUCACUGGAGUGUCUGACAUAGGCUUUGAAAAAGCACUUGCAAAUAGGCCACCAGUGCUGAAGUGCCACUGGCUUUCUGGAUGGGGGUCCCUGGAACACCUAUUUGCCUGGAAAGCGGUCCCUGGGCAAGAGCAGAUGCUUGUACGAGUCGUCUAUCACCAGCUCUCCUGCCUCCAGUUCGCCCCCCGAGGAGGAGCUGUCUCCCCCCAUACCCUCACCGUAGUGCCCUGACACACAAGAGAGAGAGG
Molecule: long non-coding RNA, 343 nt
Organism: Oncorhynchus mykiss (rainbow trout)
Lineage: Eukaryota; Metazoa; Chordata; Actinopteri; Salmoniformes; Salmonidae
Source: RefSeq, a predicted model, not a curated record